This 469-nucleotide ribosomal RNA is filed under the name uncultured bacterium. RNAcentral describes it as "partial 16S ribosomal RNA". It matches the Rfam family "Bacterial small subunit ribosomal RNA", at positions 329 to 795 of the family's 1533-position model. The record is from RNAcentral.
CUCCAGACUCCUACGGGAGGCAGCAGUGAGGAAUAUUGGUCAAUGGGCGGGAGCCUGAACCAGCCAAGCCGCGUGAAGGAAGAAGGCGCCAAGCGUCGUAAACUUCUUUUGUCGGGGAACAAAGGGCGCCACGUGUGGCGUUGUGAGUGUACCCGAAGAAAAAGCAUCGGCUAACUCCGUGCCAGCAGCCGCGGUAAUACGGAGGAUGCGAGCGUUAUCCGGAUUUAUUGGGUUUAAAGGGUGCGUAGGCGGGUCCGGAAGGGCACGGGAAAAAGCCCGGGCCCCACCCCCGGCGAGCCGUUGAAACUGUCGGACUAGAGACGGCGAGAAGUACGCGGAAUGCGCGGUGUAGCGGUGAAAUGCAUAGAUAUUAGGAAGAACACCGGUGGCGAAGGCGACUUUCUGGACUGUAACUGACGUUGAGGCACGAAAGUGUGGGGAGCAAACAGGAUUAGAUACCCGCGUAAAC